GAUGAAGAACGCAGCGAACUGCGAUAAGUAAUGUGAAAUGCAGAAUUCAGUGAAUCAUCGAGUCUUUGAACGCACAUUGCGCCCCCUGGCAUUCCGGGGGGCAUGCCUGUCCGAGCGUCAUUGCUGCCCUUCAAGCCCGGCUUGUGUGUUGGGUCGUCGUCCCCCCCGGGGGACGGGCCCGAAAGGCAGCGGCGGCACCGCGUCCGGUCCUCGAGCGUAUGGGGCUUUGUCACCCGCUCGAUUAGGGCCGGCCGGGCGCCAGCCGGCGUCUCCAACCUUCUAUUUUACCAGGUUGACCUCGGAUCAGGUAGGGAUACCCGCUGAACUUAAGCAUAUUCAAUAAGCGGAGGA
Molecule: unclassified non-coding RNA, 351 nt
Filed under: soil metagenome
Description: partial contains 5.8S ribosomal RNA, internal transcribed spacer 2, and large subunit ribosomal RNA
Rfam family: 5.8S ribosomal RNA (bases 1-120)
Source: RNAcentral